AUUAUCAAAAGAAAACAGAAAACAACUUCAGGGAAGAGGAAGCCACAAGGCAUCCACCCCCUGUCGGGCCACCCAAUACCUGCGAAACGCCACCGUCCUAGCGGUGGCGGACGAUCCGUAACGAAAAAGGAAAAGAAACAAAAAUCAGGCACGGUGGCCCGUUUACCUUCACCAAACCCUCUGUGUACCGCUUCCACGUUGCUUCCCCGCGGACACCCCUCUGAGGUGUGUGCGGGGGAGGUCUACAGCAAACAAACACGCGCGUAACAGCGGUCAGAGGGCAAUUGAUAGAAAUGAUAAAACUUUCAACAACGGAUCUCUUGGUUCCCGCAUCGAUGAAGAACGCAGCGAAAUGCGAUAAGUAAUGUGAAUUGCAGAAUUCAGUGAAUCAUCGAAUCUUUGAACGCACAUUGCGCCCCCUGGUAUUCCGGGGGGCAUGCCUGUUCGAGUCUCAAUGAAACCUCUCCCUCAGUUCAGGUCUUCCUGCACGUGAGGGGUAUUGCUGGAUGCCCACGCCGUGAAAAGUGCCGGCACCGCCCAAAUUCACAGUCCGCGUGCCUGGGGGUAGCGACCAACGUAGUGAGAUUCAAUCUCGUUGGCGACGUGACCCCACAGAGGCAACGGGACCUUAAGCGCCAAGGCGCCAAGUCAAAACGGUUGAGCUCGGAUCAGGUAGGGAUACCCGCUGAACUUAAGCAUAUCAAUAAGCGGAGGAAAAGAAACCAACAGGGAUUGCCUCAGUAACGGCGAGUGAAGCGGCAACAGCUCAAAUUUUAAAGCCGGCGCCCUCAGCACCCGCGUUGUAAUUUGGAGAGGCAUCUUCGGUUUGGGCGCCAGCCUAUGUUCCUUGGAACAGGACGUCACAGAGGGUGAGAAUCCCGUGCCUGGCUGGCUGUCCCUCUCCAUGUGAAGCGCCNUCUACGAGUCGAGUUGUUUGGGAAUGCAGCUCAAAUGGGUGGUAAAUUCCAUCUAAAGCUAAAUAUUGGGCGGGAGACCGA
This 998-nucleotide ribosomal RNA is filed under the name uncultured Hydnotrya. RNAcentral's name for it is "eukaryotic LSU rRNA". The stretch from base 659 to 998 matches the Rfam family "Eukaryotic large subunit ribosomal RNA", at positions 1 to 337 of the family's 3401-position model. Lineage: Eukaryota; Fungi; Ascomycota; Pezizomycetes; Pezizales; Discinaceae. The record is from RNAcentral.